Molecule: ribosomal RNA, 468 nt
Filed under: uncultured bacterium
Lineage: Bacteria
Description: bacterial SSU rRNA
Rfam family: Bacterial small subunit ribosomal RNA
Source: RNAcentral
UAAGGAAUAUUGGUCAAUGGAGGCAACUCUGAACCAGCCAUGCCGCGUGCAGGAAGAAGGCCCUAUGGGUCGUAAACUGCUUUUGAACAAGAGAAAACCCCGGUACGUGUACUGGGUUGAUAGUAUUGUUAGAAUAAGCAUCGGCUAACUUCGUGCCAGCAGCCGCGGUAAGACGAAGGAUGCAAGCGUUAUCCGGAUUCAUUGGGUUUAAAGGGUGCGUAGGCGGACUGAUAAGUCAGUGGUGAAAUCUCUCGGCUUAACCGAGAAACUGCCAUUGAUACUGUUAGUCUAGAGUACAGAUGAUGUGGGCGGAAUAUGACAUGUAGUGGUGAAAUACUUAGAUAUGUCAUAGAACACCGAUUGCGAAGGCAGCUCACAAAACUGUAAACUGACGCUGAGGCACGAAAGCGUGGGGAGCAAACAGGAUUAGAUACCCAGGUAGUCCCUGAGCGGGCUGGCAAGGCGCAU